This 90-nucleotide ribosomal RNA is filed under the name Thermotoga petrophila. Lineage: Bacteria; Thermotogati; Thermotogota; Thermotogae; Thermotogales; Thermotogaceae. The record is from RNAcentral.
ACCCGGUUCCAUUCCGAACCCGGCCGUUAAGCCGCCCUGGGCCGAUGGUAGUAUGGGGGUAGCCCCAUGCGAGAGUAGGUAGCGCCCGGG